RNAcentral lists this ribosomal RNA (532 nucleotides) under uncultured bacterium. RNAcentral's name for it is "bacterial SSU rRNA". It matches the Rfam family "Bacterial small subunit ribosomal RNA", at positions 977 to 1509 of the family's 1533-position model. The record is from RNAcentral.
GGCCUUGACAUACUAAGAACUUUCCAGAGAUGGAUUGGUGCCUUCGGGAACUUAGAUACAGGUGCUGCAUGGCUGUCGUCAGCUCGUGUCGUGAGAUGUUGGGUUAAGUCCGCAACGAGCGCAACCCUUUUCCUUAUUUGCCAGCGGGUUAAGCCGGGAACUUUAAGGAUACUGCCAGUGACAAACUGGAGGAAGGCGGGGACGACGUCAAGUCAUCAUGGCCCUUACGGCCAGGGCUACACACGUGCUACAAUGGUCGGUACAAAGGGUUGCUACCUCGCGAGAGGAUGCUAAUCUCAAAAAGCCGAUCGUAGUCCGGAUCGCAGUCUGCAACUCGACUGCGUGAAGUCGGAAUCGCUAGUAAUCGCGGAUCAGAAUGCCGCGGUGAAUACGUUCCCGGGCCUUGUACACACCGCCCGUCACACCAUGGGAGUUUGUUGCACCAGAAGUAGGUAGUCUAACCGCAAGGAGGAUGCUUACCACGGUGUGGCCGAUGACUGGGGUGAAGUCGUAACAAGGUAGGCGUAGAUGA